GACCGGCGCACGGGUGAGUAACGCGUAUGCAACCUGCCCGAUACCGGGGUAUAGCCCAUGGAAACGUGGAUUAACACCCCAUAGUACUUUUAUCCUGCAUGGGAUGUGAGUUAAAUGUUCAAGGUAUCGGAUGGGCAUGCGUCCUAUUAGUUAGUUGGCGGGGUAACAGCCCACCAAGACGAUGAUAGGUAGGGGUUCUGAGAGGAAGGUCCCCCACAUUGGAACUGAGACACUGUCCAA
This 240-nucleotide ribosomal RNA is filed under the name uncultured bacterium. RNAcentral describes it as "partial 16S ribosomal RNA". It matches the Rfam family "Bacterial small subunit ribosomal RNA", at positions 93 to 334 of the family's 1533-position model. The record is from RNAcentral.